GAUGAAGAACGUAGCGAAAUGCGAUAAGUAGUGUGAAUUGCAGAAUUCAGUGAAUCAUCGAAUCUUUGAACGCACAUUGCGGCCAUAGGUAUUCCUUUGGCCAUGCCUGUUCGAGCGUCAUUUACACCCUCAAGCCUAGCUUGGUGUUGGGCGUCUGUCCCGCUGUUCUCGCGCGCGGACUCGCCUCAAAGUCAUUGGCGGCGGUCGUGCCGGCCCCCUCGCGCAGCACAUUUGCGCUUCUCGGAGGCCCGGCGGAUCCGCGCUCCAGCAAGACCUUUCACGACUUGACCUCGGAUCAGGUAGGGAUACCCGCUGAACUUAAGCAUAUCAAUAAGCGGAGGA
This 342-nucleotide unclassified non-coding RNA is filed under the name soil metagenome. RNAcentral's name for it is "partial contains 5.8S ribosomal RNA, internal transcribed spacer 2, and large subunit ribosomal RNA". The stretch from base 1 to 120 matches the Rfam family "5.8S ribosomal RNA", at positions 35 to 154 of the family's 154-position model. The record is from RNAcentral.